RNAcentral lists this long non-coding RNA (693 nucleotides) under Homo sapiens (human). RNAcentral describes it as "HSALNT0278035". Lineage: Eukaryota; Metazoa; Chordata; Mammalia; Primates; Hominidae. The record is from RNAcentral.
GAAAUUCUUUGAACCAUCUCCUUUAAGCCCAUAAGCUAGCACUGGCAGGAGAAGUCUCUCUCCAGCCUGGGAAACGAAUCAUGGAAAUGUGUCGCUGCACCAAAAUGGGGCAGUGUGGGAGUGACUCACUGCAGGAAGCAGCCGCCUGCCGGCAGCUGCGGAAGAGAUAGACCAGAGCUGCGAGGACAGAGGAUGCACUGGGGAGGGAAGGGAAGGCUUCAGGCACUGGAGCCAACCAGGUGCAGCCGGCUGAGCAGGGCCUGGGGUGCUCAUGCCUGCCCUGAGGUCUCAGUGGCCUAGAGGUUCCUCCCUGGGUAUUAAAGGAAAGUUACAGCCCAGGGCGUCACGUUACCUAGGCUGGCAUGGAGCACAAGGGGGCUUUGCUCAGUGUGCCUAGCAGAGGCUGCAGUGUUCCUAGGGAGUCCAGUGUACAUGCUUGGAAAUCAGCGAGGCUGGCAGCCGCCAGAGAGCGGCGUCUAUACAACCAGAUCCUGGGCCUGCCCCAAAAAUCCAGGCUGGGAAAUAAUCUUUACUGUGGAAAAGAAGAAACAGGAGAAAUUACUCUUUUAGCAGAAUGGUCAGGGUGGCAGCCCCUGGAGGUACAGCUGCAUACAGCGUGGCAUGUAUGAAAUAGGUCAAACACUUACACAGGGCCAGGCAAGCUGUGGCUGCAGCCUCAAAGCAGGAGGCCAG